This 496-nucleotide ribosomal RNA is filed under the name uncultured bacterium. RNAcentral's name for it is "partial 16S ribosomal RNA". It matches the Rfam family "Bacterial small subunit ribosomal RNA", at positions 29 to 507 of the family's 1533-position model. The record is from RNAcentral.
AUGCACGCUGGCGGCGUGCCUAAUACAUGCAAGUCGAGCGAACGGACGAGAAGCUUGCUUCUCUGAUGUUAGCGGCGGACGGGUGAGUAACACGUGGAUAACCUACCUAUAAGACUGGGAUAACUUCGGGAAACCGGAGCUAAUACCGGAUAAUAUUUUGAACCGCAUGGUUCAAAAGUGAAAGACGGUCUUGCUGUCACUUAUAGAUGGAUCCGCGCUGCAUUAGCUAGUUGGUAAGGUAACGGCUUACCAAGGCAACGAUGCAUAGCCGACCUGAGAGGGUGAUCGGCCACACUGGAACUGAGACACGGUCCAGACUCCUACGGGAGGCAGCAGUAGGGAAUCUUCCGCAAUGGGCGAAAGCCUGACGGAGCAACGCCGCGUGAGUGACGAAGGUCUUCGGAUCGUAAAACUCUGUUAUUAGGGAAGAACAUAUGUGUAAGUAACUGUGCACAUCUUGACGGUACCUAAUCAGAAAGCCACGGCUAACUACGUG